GUUAAACUCUCACCUUGAGUCCAGAGGGCCAGUGUGCAGAUGAAGACGCUGAUCAAAGUCAUGGUUGCUGUGGGUGAAGUUGCUGAGCAGCAGCUCUCAGUCAUGAAGUGUUAAAGCCACAGGGCUAUAAACACUUGCAGAGCACUGAAGCAUGGACUGCAAAUGCAAAGUGUGUGUGUGUGUGUGUGUGUGUGUGUCUGUGUGUGUGUGUGUGUGUGUGUGUGCGUGCACUGCACUGUGAAGGAGGUUUUUGUACGAUGGCUUCAUUAGAAUGUAACACUGUGGUGGGCUUUUGGUGGAGGCACCAGAAUCAUUGUGAACAAGGGUCCCUCCGUGUCUCUGCUCCCUCCGUCCCCUCUGCAGCUGUGUGAGGGAUCGGCCUCGCUGCUCUGCCUGCUGUCUGACUACUCUCCACAGGGGGCGCUGGUGAGCUGGACAGUGGACGGCUCAGAGGUGAAGAACGGGGUUCUGACCAGUGCAGAAGAAGAGAAGAAGGGCGGUUACACACGCAGCAGUACCCUGACCCUCAGCAAAGCAGUCUGGGAAAAGGCAGAGGAGUUUGUCUGUAAGGUCUCCCAUAAAGGCAUCAAUUAUCCGGUCAACUUCAGAAAGAGUCAGUGUGAAGGCUAGUGGCUCCAAGAUAGAUUUUAACAUAGAGCUGCUUAUGAUCCAUCUACAAUAGAGUUUCAAUUCUACACAAUGCUGCCAUUUCUGUCUUUACUCUGUUCACUGUCCUGUUGAUCUUCCUGUAGUUUUUGCUGAAAUAAAGCUGAAUUUUGGA
Molecule: long non-coding RNA, 781 nt
Organism: Pangasianodon hypophthalmus (striped catfish)
Lineage: Eukaryota; Metazoa; Chordata; Actinopteri; Siluriformes; Pangasiidae
Exons: 2
Source: RefSeq, a predicted model, not a curated record